AGAAUCAACGCUGGCGGCGUGCCUAACACAUGCAAGUCGAUCGAGAAAGUGGAGCAAUCCAUGAGUAAAGAGGCGCACGGGUGAGUAACACGUGACUAACCUACCUUCGAGUGGGGAAUAAACCUGGGGAAACCCGGGCUAAUACCGCAUAAUACCUACGGGUCAAAGGAGCAAUUCGCUUGAAGAGGGGGUCGCGGCAGAUUAGUUAGUUGGCGGGGUAAUGGCCCACCAAGACGAUGAUCUGUAUCCGGCCUGAGAGGGCGCACGGACACACUGGAACUGAAACACGGUCCAGACUCCUACGGGAGGCAGCAGUGGGAAUUUUGCGCAAUGGGGGAAACCCUGACGCAGCAACGCCGCGUGGAGGAUGAAGUCCCUUGGGACGUAAAACUCCUUUCGACCGGGACGAUUAUGACGGUACCGGAUGAAGAAGCCCCGGCUAACUUCGUGCCAGCAGCCGC
Molecule: ribosomal RNA, 461 nt
Filed under: uncultured bacterium
Lineage: Bacteria
Description: SSU rRNA
Rfam family: Bacterial small subunit ribosomal RNA
Source: RNAcentral